This 311-nucleotide ribosomal RNA is filed under the name uncultured bacterium. RNAcentral's name for it is "bacterial SSU rRNA". It matches the Rfam family "Bacterial small subunit ribosomal RNA", at positions 28 to 334 of the family's 1533-position model. The record is from RNAcentral.
GACGAACACUGGCGGCGUGCCUAACACAUGCAAGUCGAACGGAAGUAAGAGCUUCGGUUUUUACUUUAGUGGCGAACGGGUGAGUAACGCGUGAGGAACCUGCCUUUCAGUGGGGGACAACAGUUGGAAACGACUGCUAAUACCGCAUAAGACCACAGGAAGGCAUCUUCAAGGGGUCAAAGGAGUUAAAUCUGGUAAUAGAGGGGCUUGCGUCUCAUUAGAUAGUUGGUGGGGUAAAGGCCUACCAAGUCGACGAUGAGUAGCCGAUCUGAGAGGAUGAACGGCCACACUGGAACUGAGAAACGGUCCAG